Molecule: ribosomal RNA, 142 nt
Filed under: uncultured bacterium
Lineage: Bacteria
Description: partial 16S ribosomal RNA
Rfam family: Bacterial small subunit ribosomal RNA
Source: RNAcentral
CUGACGUAUGAGAUGGACCCGCGUCUGAUUAGGUAGUUGGUGGGGUAACGGCCUACCAAGCCGACGAUCAGUAGCCGACCUGAGAGGGUGACCGGCCACAUUGGGACUGAGACACGGCCCAAACUCCUACGGAAGGCAGCAG